CCCGUUGAUCCUGCGGGAGAUUGCUGCUAUCUGGAUUCGAUUUAGCCAUGCAAGUCAAGGGGCCUUUAUGGCACCGGCAGACUGCUCAGUAACACGUUGAUAAUCUGCCUUUAAGCGGUGAAUAGCCUUGGAAAACUGAGGGUAAUACACCAUAGGAAAAUUCGUCUGGAAUCGAGUUUUUUCUGAAAGUUACGACGCUUAAAGAUGAGUCAGCGGCGGAUUAGGUUGUUGGCGGGGUAACUGCCCACCAAGCCAAAGAUCCGUACGGGCCUUGAGAGAGGUAGCCCGGAGAAGGACACUGAGAUACUGGUCCUAGCCCUACGGGGUGCAGCAGGCGCGAAACCUUUACAAUGCACGAAAGUGUGAUAAGGGAAUCCAGAGUGCUUAGCUUUGCUAGGCUUUUGCCAAGAGUAAAUAUCUUGGCGAAUAAGUGGUGGGUAAGACGGGUGCCAGCCGCCGCGGUAACACCUGCGCCACAAGUGGGAAUCACAUUUAUUUGGCCUAAAGCGUCCGUAGCCUGUUUAAUCAGUCUUUCGUGAAAUAACUGCACUCAAUGCAGUGACGUGCGGAAGAUACUGUUAGACUCGGAACCGGUAGGGGUAUGGAGUAUUCAUGGAGGAGCGGUAAAAUGUUAUAAUCCCAUGAAGACUACCGAUGGCGAAGGCACCAUACCAGGACGGAUUCGACGGUGAGGGACGAAAGCCAGGGGAGCGAUCCGGAUUAGAUACCCGAGUAGUCCUGGCCGUAAACGCUGUGAGCAAGGUGUCGCACAUUCUACGUGAAUGUGCGGUAUCGAAAUGAAGAUGUUAAGCUCACCGCCUGGGAAGUACGGUCGCAAGACUGAAACUUAAAGGAAUUGGCGGGGGAGCACUACAAGGGGUGCGGCGUGCGGUUUAAUCUAACUCAACGCAGAGAAUCUCACCAGAUGCGACGGCCGGAUGAAGGUCAGCCUGAAGGGUUUACCUGACAAGCCGAGAGGUAGUGCAUGGCCGCCGUCAGCUCGUGCCGUGAGGUGUCCUGUUAAGUCAGGCAACGAGCGAGACCUGCAUCCAUAAUUGCUAACGACUUUUGGAUCGAGCUCUUUAUGGGGACUGCCUUGGAAACAAGGAGGAAGGUGCAGGCAACGGUAGGUCUGUAUGCUCCGAAUCUUCUGGGCUACACGCGCGCAACAAUGGUACGGACAAUAGGUCACGACUCCGAAAGGAGAAGUUAAUCCCCGAAACCGUAUCUCAGUCCAGAUUGAGGGUUGUAACUCACCCUCAUGACGUCGGAAUCCCUAGUAAUCGGGUGUCAACAUCGCCCGGUGAAUAUGUCCCUGCUCCUUGCACACACCGCCCGUCAAACCACUCGAGCAGGGUUUAGAUGAGCCUUAGCUUUUUGGUUAAUGCGAAUCUAAGCUCAGUGAGAUGGGUUAAGUCGUCACAAGGUA
Molecule: ribosomal RNA, 1429 nt
Filed under: metagenome
Description: bacterial SSU rRNA
Rfam family: Archaeal small subunit ribosomal RNA
Source: RNAcentral